Molecule: long non-coding RNA, 551 nt
Organism: Engraulis encrasicolus (European anchovy)
Lineage: Eukaryota; Metazoa; Chordata; Actinopteri; Clupeiformes; Engraulidae
Exons: 3
Source: RefSeq, a predicted model, not a curated record
AGUCAUAACGUCGCCAUGGGAACCUAGUCCGCUCGUGGGGCUGUUUGCAUUCUUCGAAAGACUUUCCGUUUGUCCUCGUCUACUGAUGUCCACUGAUUUAAGCUUACCUCCGAUAAAAUACACCAUUCAAUAGUGUAUUAUUGAAAGUCAUCUUCGCGAUAAAAGUGUUUACUUACUCCACUGGUGGAGUGAAGAGUCGUGAACGUCGCAGGUUUUUAAACCGUGAAGAUUAUUUCGUUGAAGACCGGAUUGGCGUCCGAGUGUCCGAGUCCAAACCCAGUGUGUUUCUUUCCACGUCGAUAUCUGGCCGGGUCUUUCGUUUGGAUCGAUUCUUGCUGUUCAAGUGAAUUCAGCUGCUGUGCGAUCGCCUUCAAGCACCGUGAAGGCGAACCCCAACAGCUGUGGCGAGCCUGGCCUUCAGAUAAGAACUGUUGAUAUAACUGAAUGAAUGAGACUCUUUUAUUUUGUUUUGUUUUGUUUUCUUCUUCUUCUUUUGUAAUACACUGUAUUCAACGUGUCAUGCUAUAGUUUCUAUUACCUAUUUAUAUAUU